This 267-nucleotide ribosomal RNA is filed under the name Haemophilus influenzae. RNAcentral describes it as "partial 16S ribosomal RNA". It matches the Rfam family "Bacterial small subunit ribosomal RNA", at positions 477 to 743 of the family's 1533-position model. Lineage: Bacteria; Pseudomonadati; Pseudomonadota; Gammaproteobacteria; Pasteurellales; Pasteurellaceae. The record is from RNAcentral.
AAAUACAGAAGAAGCACCGGCUAACUCCGUGCCAGCAGCCGCGGUAAUACGGAGGGUGCGAGCGUUAAUCGGAAUAACUGGGCGUAAAGGGCACGCAGGCGGUUAUUUAAGUGAGGUGUGAAAGCCCCGGGCUUAACCUGGGAAUUGCAUUUCAGACUGGGUAACUAGAGUACUUUAGGGAGGGGUAGAAUUCCACGUGUAGCGGUGAAAUGCGUAGAGAUGUGGAGGAAUACCGAAGGCGAAGGCAGCCCCUUGGGAAUGUACUGA